Non-coding RNA from Paramuricea clavata, 504 nucleotides. The record is from the annotation of a GenBank genome assembly. NCBI's taxonomy places the organism in Eukaryota, Metazoa, Cnidaria, Anthozoa, Malacalcyonacea, Plexauridae.
AGCAUAAUUCAAAAUCAGUAAACUCGAUGUUUUUAACAAUAAAAAUGUUUUAAAAUGUUAAAAACAUUGAGUUUGGUGAUCUUGAAUUAUGCUUCACUGAUUUUCUUAGUUAGGUUUUUCAAGUAAAAGAGCUGAAAUGCGCCUUAAAAACCAUCGUUCAAAAGGCUGAACUGUGCCUUUAAUGACAGUAAGAUAAAGUGUUAAUUACUCGACUUAUUAAUAUUCACUUUUCACUAAACAUUUCACACAACUAUAUUAUAAAGACAGUAAUUUAUUUACUUAUAUUAAUGUUGAUGUUCAUAGUUCCACAAUUAGCUCCUUGUAGUAGUCCGCUCAAAUCUAGUGUCGAACUUGCACGUUGUUCAUAAUCUAUACAUGCAUUUACGAGAGUUUCGUCGUGAAUAUCUAACAUUGAAUCAGAAUUUGAGGUAGAACUACCAGACAAAACAUUUGAGACGAGGAUGUUGUCACUCGCGUCUUCUCUUUGAUAUGUUAGCACACCUU